CGGGAGGGGAACCGCUUCCCAAGAAUCCCUGCGCAGAGAUCCUUAGAAUAAAUGUUAUUUCUAGGCGCCGACCUGCUUGCGGCCGAAAGUGGGCACGACAGAUUUCUUUGAAAACAACAAAGUUUGAAAAUACACCCACAAACACUUUUGGGGUGCUACCCUGCCAGUCGUUUUACUAGGUGGUGGGAGGAGAACGAUGUACAAGACAUUUCCUAGAACCGCGUGGCAGCCGCUCCAGCUUCCUGACAAGGAGCAACGCUCUCCUUGACUUCACUUUUUAAAAACAAAGGACUGAUCUUACUUUCUAGGGAGCUACUGAUUCACAGAAGGAAAGUGCUCACGGGUGAGGAGAGCCAUUCUGGACCCUAGAUUAAGCUGCAGCCGCCUUGAAUCUGCUUAUUCUCUCCACCAGCCCUGGGAAAGGCACACACGUGGUUCCCUGCAAAAGCCUUUUUCAUUCCUGGCCUCUGCUGUGUGACAGGACAUCUGUCUCCUUUUGCCCUCAGACUGGGACUCACGCCAACAGCCACUUUGCCUCUACGGCCUUUGGAGUUCGACUAGAAGAUGACCACCGGCUCCAGCUUGCAACAGCAGCUCCUGCAGCUCCUCGGCCUCCGUCACCCGGAUUCGGCUCCCAGAGGCAGCUGACCAGGGCUGCUCUCCCGUGGUCACCACAAAGGUGUACGCCACAGAACGUCUCAGAAUACACAGCUUGAGUCGUCCACAUAAGCAGGGAGCAGGAAAGAAGCCACAGCUCCAUGCCUGACCUCAGGAGAGGGAGCCCCUCGCUUGUGCUAUGGUCUGGAGACCCAUCACUGGGUCCAGCCGCUUCUGGGGGAGAGGAUUCCACAGGGGAAUGAGAAACAAGAGGCAGGAAGCCUGGAGGAACUUUAAGGACAAAGUGCAUGCUGUAGUCAGCAGUGAUGGGCACACCUGUAACCCCAGCACUGGGAGGCUGAGGCAGGAGGACUGAGAGUUCAAGGCCAGCACAGUCUAUAUGACAAGACCCUAUCAAUCACACAAGCAUAAACUCUAAAAUCAAACAAAUGCAGUGCUGUUUAAAGGUUUGUACCAGGGCCAGCGAUUUAGCUCAGUGGUUUCGCCACCUGCUGCGCAAGCACCAGAACCUGAGUUUGAUCCCCUGUACCAAAAAAAAAAAAAAGGUUUAAACCAGUGAAAAGUAAAAAUAUUUCCCCUCUGAUAACAAGCUUCACUUCCUUUUUCUUUUCUUUCACUCUUUUUGUCUGUUUUUGAAACAGAGCCUCCCUAUGUAGUUCAGGCUGACCUUGAGCUCACUAUGUAG
Heterocephalus glaber (naked mole-rat) is the source of this 1303-nucleotide long non-coding RNA. Lineage: Eukaryota; Metazoa; Chordata; Mammalia; Rodentia; Bathyergidae. The record is from Ensembl.